AUGGAGGGCAUCUUCCCCUUCUUCUGCUCGGCCAUCAGGAGGCGGAGGCCGAGGCCGCCGGACCGCUACGGGCGCCUCGCCGUCCCCGCCGGCGCGGCGGGUGGGCUUGGGCGGGAGCACGAGAGCUUGGCCGGCAGCGGGCACUACCAGUACUCUCAGAGCUGCAGGUUCCCCGUCCGACGUCCCGGGGCGGACGAGCUCGGCCUCGGCAACGACGACGACCGGCCGCCACCAGAGGACCUCUCCGGCGAGCUAUCCCCGGCGUCCGGCGGCCGGGACGGCGGGCGCGGGCUGUCCAGGUCCAGGAGGUUCGGUAGCAUGCGCAUGUUGGCGUCGUGUAUCGGCGGCCCGUGA
RNAcentral lists this ribosomal RNA (354 nucleotides) under Triticum aestivum (bread wheat). RNAcentral describes it as "partial small subunit ribosomal RNA". The record is from RNAcentral. Lineage: Eukaryota; Viridiplantae; Streptophyta; Magnoliopsida; Poales; Poaceae.